RNAcentral lists this long non-coding RNA (31347 nucleotides) under Nicotiana benthamiana. RNAcentral describes it as "long non-coding RNA (NBEN_LNC022566)". Lineage: Eukaryota; Viridiplantae; Streptophyta; Magnoliopsida; Solanales; Solanaceae. The record is from RNAcentral.
UAAUAACAAAAUCUUAGAUUAUAAAAUUACUUGCUAACCUUAAUAAUGAUUCCACUAAACAUGAUAUUAACCACCACAAGAAGUCAAGUCUGAAAUUCACUCAAAGAAUUCCUCUAUAUCUAUCAUCACGCUUAACAGUUCAACAGAUGAAUUUACAUCCGAGUAACCCUUUGAAUAAAAAUCCUAAGUUAUUACAACUAUUAAGUGUAACAAGUUGUUAAACACUCAUGAAUAAGCUAAAACAACCACAAUAUUUAGAUAACCCAACUAUACUAAGUCCAUCUUCAACAGUAAUUUAUACCAGCUGAAGUAGUGUAAUGAACACUUGAAAAGAUGCAUAAUAAUCCAAUUUCAUAUCAACAAUUUACAAGUCCAUUUUAUCACUUCAAGAUUACGAAUAUACCUGGAAUAACAAGAGAAAACCAACAGAAACUUCAACAAAGAAAUCAAAAUAUCAGGAGCUCUUUAGGAAGCAGUAAACAAACAGUUAUCGACUAGCUACUACCAUGUCUUGAACCCAGAAUGCGAAAAAAUAAUUUACCCAAACUUUUAAGACCCAAAAAAUCAAAAGAACAACUUCAAUGUAACAAUAUUUGGAUGAUUUAUUUUUGUAUUCUUCUUUUAAUUUUGGGACAUAUAUAAGUGUAUAGUUUCAACCAUUUGUAGCUAUAGGUAUUCUGAUCUCUGCCCUCAAAAUCAAGGAGAGACCUUUAUAGAGGGGUUUUAGGGCAGCAAAAUCUGAUUCUUAACUUCACUGUUUACCCCUUCCCCAAUUUUUAUUUUUUUCACUUUAAACCCAGUAUUUUAAAUCUUCUUGUUAAAACCAACACAUUCCCCCACUUUUCUAGCAUCUUCCUAGGCAGUUAUAAAAGAUUAUUUCAAUAACAAUACCCUAAAUACCCUUCAAAUGUCUGUUAUUUACAUUCAGAAAAAUCUCUAAUUGGGCUAGACCACAACAUGCUUGAACUCUUGCCCCUUUCUUUUGAGCUUCUGAACUAUGAAGCUCAAUUUCUGGUCCAAAAACCACAACCCACAAACAACCAAACCAACAGAGUUUUGAAACUCUUGGCAUGAAAAUUCUAACGAAGUAAAACAAAAAGAGAAUUGAGCAACAGGCAAGCAUGAAAUCAAAGUACUAAAAAGAAUCUGCUAACUACAUUAUUAGGCUAAUAUCCCUACAAACUAAUAUGACUUAAUCUAACAUACAAAUAGAAAUCGAUUUGAACUCAUAAAGAAGAAGAAAGAAAAAACAAAAAAAAAAACAAAAAAUAAAAGCAAGUAAAUAAUUAACAAGGAGAAGAAGAAGAGAUUGACUGACCAAACGGAAGCAAUAGCCAAAAAUCGCACAUGAACGAUAUGGCCACUCAAACUGCUUCAUCAAAGCCACUCAAUCUAACGAGCACCAUUUGUUAAGAAUACUCUGUCAAAGCAAGUUUCAGGCCUGGUGAGCAGAAACCUUCACUACAAACCCAACCCCAAAAUUUGGUUAAACUCUAGAUUCCAAAUUUGAAAAACUCUAGGGUUCGUUUGGGAAAAAUUCCAAGAGUUUUGGGUUUGGGGAAGCCUGGGGACUCUAGGAUGUUAAUUUGGUCGGGUUUGGGUGAAUUUGGGUUUCGGAAUCUAAUUUUGGAUCUAAAAUCCUAGGAGCUUGGUGAUGGUUUGAAGGAAAUGGGUUAGGGAUUUGGGAUGAGGGGAUGGAGGGGUGUUACUAUAGGGCUGAUCAGGGUUGUGCCACCGGUGAAGAUGGCAGAGGUUUUGGGGGCGGAGGGCUCUAGGGUUUCUAGUUGUUUGGGACGAAGAUGGGAGGUAGGAGGUUGGACUGGGGGAGGGGGGAUGAGUUAAUUAUGAAACUUAAAUACAAGUGAACCCCCCAGUUCUUAACCGUUCGAUGAGUGGAAGUCAACGGCUAGGAUAAAAAGCCUCAAAAUGGCGUUGUUUGGUUAGGACUUGGGAUUGGACUAGAUAAUUAGGGAUUGGGCCUGGGCGGGUUGGAUCAAAAAUAAAGAUUGGGAUCCUGUAUUUUUUCAUUACAACAACCCUAUUUCUCUUUCCCUCUCUGUUCCAUUUAUUUUUCCAUUAAUUAAAACCUAGAUUAAACCCUUGAAUUAAAUUAACUUACACAAUUAUCUAACAAAAUAUUUACAAUAAAUUAAUUACUCCUAAAAAAGAAAAUUACUAAUUUAAAUCUAAGAGGUUAAAAUGCAAAGGUAAGCCAUUUUUGUGAUUUUAUCUUUAAUAAGAGAACUAAUUUACUAAUUAACCUAAAAAUAUAAAAAUAAAUCCCAAAUGAAAUGCAUGAUAUUUUUGUUUUUGUAUUUUUUCAUGAUUUAAAUAAAAUAAACAUGCACAAACAAAUGCUAACAAUUAACAAAAAUCCUACGAAAAAUCUAUAAAAUUUUCAAAUAAUGUGAAAAAUUAUUUUCUUGAAUUUAUAUGAGUAAUUCAUAUAGGGAAAAAAAUCACGUUCUCACAGCUGCCCCUCUUUGCUCGGAAACACGAAGAGUUUACGUACAAGACAAAGUGAGCAAAUACGAGCGAUUUUUGCCCGUUUGAAUAUUCUGUGGGAAGAAUUUUUAAAAGAUUUGACCGCACCCUGCUUCGAGGUUGCCUACCUAUCCUUGGAUAUAAUGGAAUGAGGUUAGUGAAGUUCGGGAAGUUUCAGUAGCUGGGACUACCAGUGAGCUGUGAUUUCACUAUUGCUGCUGCUACUGCUUGCUGAACUCCUUAUAUCACCAAGACAAAAUAAAAGAAGCUAGACUAAACUAUGAUGUAUGAAUUGUAAGAAUCCUAGCUAUAUCUUCAAACUUGAUCUUGCAGUUUCUGUUGUUCUGUUGACUUGUGCUGUCCAGGUGAAAUUCCUUUGUUGCUGACUUGAAUUGUAUUAUGAGGUGUUUUUCCUUUGUUCUCCAAGCGGGAACCUGAUUACUGAACUUGAACCGUGUUUCUUUGAACAUUAUUCCUUUCCCUUUGUUCUUCCAGGUGGGAGCCUGAUUACCAACAUUUGAAUUAUCUUCCUUUCCUCCGAAACUUGACUUGUUUUCCUUUAUUUUCCAGGUGGGCACCUGAUCACCAAACUUGCACCGUCUUGCUUUGAACAUUGCUGCUUCCCUUUGUUCUCCAGUUGGGCCUCUUGGUUACCAAUAUUUACUUGGGUUUUCCUCGAAAUUUGAAUUGUUUCUCUUUUUUUUCUAGGUGGGCUCCUGAUUACCAACACUUGAAUUGCUUUCCCUUUAUUCUCCAUGGGCUCUGAUAACUGGGGGUUUGGCGUGAUUUAUUAUCCUUCUUUCUUAUGCUUUGGUUAUAAAUUAUUACAAAAUAUCCCCAAAAGGAUCAUAUGUGUGCUUGAUUGCAGGUUUGAUCGACAAAUGUGACGAGAUGAUAAAGAUCGGUUCAAAAGGAGUGAAACCUGCUCAAGUAUCAAAGACAAGGCAAACUGAGGGCAAACAGGCCUAGUGCGGCCGCAUUCGACUUUGUGUGGUCUUUAUUAGGUGAUUCAGAGAGUUGGAAAAAUGGGCUUCAAGGCAGUGCGGCCGCAUUCGAUAUUGCACGGUCCACACCGAAGGUUCUGCGAUCGCACUACCAUUUUGUGUGGUUCGCAUAAGAGAGAUUCAAAGAGGUGAAAAUUGCCAUGGUUCAAACUGCACGGUCCGCAGCCAUAUUUGUGCAGACCGCAUUAGAGAACUCUACGACCGAGGUCCAUUCUACGCGGUCUGCAGAGCCCAAGUUCAGAAAGCCAUGAUUUGAAGUCUAAGAGCCUAGUGCGGCCGUGAUCCAUUUUAUGCAGCCCACACUGACCCCCCCAUAGGUAUUUUUGUCCAGUUUUUCCAGCUUACACUACACUUUGUGUGAUCCGCAUUAAGGGAUUCAGAAAGCUAGCAAAAUGAGCUUCAAGACAGUGCCGCCGCAUUCAAUCUUGCGCAGUCUGCACUGAAGGUUCUGUGGCCGCACUACCAUUCUGUGCGAUCCACGGAAGAGGGAUUCAGAGAAGUGUAAUUUACAAGAAUCACGCCAGCACGGCCCGCGGUCGUGCUUAUGCGGAUCGUAUUGAAGACCUCCGCGGCCGCUGUCCAUUUUGCGCGGUCCGCGGAGUUGAAGUUCGUAGAUACAAGAAUUAAAGUCCAAGAGCCUAGUGUCGCCGCGGUCCAUUUUAUGUGGCCCGCACUGACCCUUCCGGGGUAUUUUUGUUCAAUUAUUUAAGCUUAGAAUAAAUAAAUUAUUUUUCCAUUUUUAGGUCAUCUAUUAGUUCUAGAACACAAUUGCACUCUUGAGAAGCUAGUUUUUAGCCAUUUUUGGUAUCUGAACGUAGAAUUAACGAUAAAUACUUUGUAUUUUCUUUAGUAAAUAUCUUGUUCUUCAUCUAUUUCUCUAUUGUCUUGUUCAAACAUGAUAGCUAAACCCACUAGCUAGGGUUGUGGCUCAACCCUAGUAUGGGUAAUUGGUGGGUGUUGUGAUUUAGGGAUAGAUUGACUAUUGAUGUUUGUAUUUGGGUCAAUUUUAUGGUUUAAUCUAUGAAUUAGUGGUUGCAAAAAAUGGUUUGUGCUAAGUGGAUUUGGAUCUUCUUGAGAAAGAGAGCCUAACUCUCCAAAUUUGAUCCAACAAGAAAUUGGGAUGGACUCAUGAGAAAUGAUAGUCUCAAUUAAAGGGUUAAACCUCGAGAGAGUGAUUACCCGACUUGAACCCUAGUUGCUUGAGCUAAGUUGCCUAUCCAUUUGGUAUCGAGAGAGUCAAUUGGGAAAAUUUGUGCGAUGGUUAUAAAUAUUUCCCCAAUCAUGUCAAUCGAGCCUUAGAAGCAAUUACCCGUCGAUUACCCACAUAGGUGAAGGUCACUGCCCUAGUGCCCCUUUACCCAUUUGAUACAACUCUUACCAAUUAUCUCACAGUAUAAUCUAGUUUCAAUUAGUACUUUUAUAAUAGUAGUUUAUAUUUGAAAAGCCCAAAAAUGUAUGGAAGUGACAUUUGGAACAAUUACACAACUCUAGACUAGAUAGAUACAUCAACUCGCUUCCUAGCUCCCUGAGGAAUUCUAUCCCGACCCUCAUAUCGGGUAAAAUCUAUUGUGACCCUCUCUUUCUACUUUGUAGUAGUGUGGAGUUGGCAGCAAUCACUUUUGGUGCCAUUUUCGGGGAGCUAACGGUUUUGACUAUCUAUUUAGUUAGUUUUGUAUUUUAUUUCUCUUUCUUUCUUUGUUACUUGUUUGUGAUAUUACUCAGGUACCAACAUGGCUUUAAACAACGCUAAUGACCCUUUUGGAAACGUGAGAGUGCGGGAGGAGGUAGAUGAUCUUGCGCAAGAGGAGGUGCCUCUUGCACCUUAUGGACAACGGAGAGGCCGAAAUGCCAAUGCAAAUGCUAUUCCAAAUGGUAAUAUUCCUGACCCUCCUCCGCCACCUCCAAGAUUGGCUCCCAAAGUAUUGCCAAGUCAAGGAUAUGCAAGUGCCAUUGUUCCUCCUCAAAUCCGGGCAGGGAACUUUCAAAUAACAAAUGUCAUGUUGACCUUGCUCGAGCAACGAGGGCAUUUUACGUGCGCUGCUGAUCAAAAUGGCUACAAGCAUCUAAAGGGGUUUGUAGAUACAUGUUCGGGGAGCAAGCAGACGAAUGUAUCCAAGGAUGCACUGAGAUUGGGACUUUUCCUGUUCUCACUUUGGUGAAAGGCACUAGAUUGGCUCGAGAGACUUCCUAACCAUUCCAUCAAAAUGUGGGAUGAGUUGGCGGAUAAAUUUAUUGCCACGUUCUUCUCACCAAGUCAUAUGGCGGCAUUUCGGGAUGAAAUAUUAGCCUUCAAGCAAAAGACAAUGGAACCUUUGCAUGAGAUAUGGGAGCGAUAUCGGACUAUGGUGAAAAAGUGCCCGAAUAACGAUAUGACCGAGGUGAUGAUUCAAUAAACCUUUUAUCGGGGCAUCAACAUCAUGAAUCCAUGCAUUGUGAACCAAUUGGCCGGGAGCAAUUUUAUGAAACUUUUUUACAAUGAGGCAUGUGAUGUACUUGAUGAUAUGGCCUACACUUGUUUGGUAUGGCAAAGUAGAGAAAAUGUGCCCCAAGGUGACCCCACGAUCAUCCAUUUGCACAAGGAAUUGCACGAUCAUGGUCAAGAUAUUUCCGAGCUUUUUAUUAGUACGAACAAUUGGCGAAGACGCAAUUGCAACAAGUCCAAAAUCCAUGCAAAGUCAAUGGCAUGGAAGGUGUUUCCAUGCUUAAAAGGAGGCAGAAAGGACAACAAUCUCAAGGGAAUUGUGAGCAAUAUGGCAAUAAUGAUGGUGGUGAUUUUUCAAAUGAGUGUUAUGAUGACCAAAGUGAACAGGUUCAAUAUGUUAACAACUACGAAGGCAGUAUAGGCAACUCUUCAAACCAACAAUGGUGACCCCAAGGGAAUUGGGGAAAUCAACAAGAAGGCGGAGGUAAUUGGAAUAACAACAAUCAACAAUAAGGUGAUAGAAAUUGGAACAACAAAAAUAAAAACAACAAUUGGGGCAAUAAAAAAAACAAUCAACGCAAUUGGAAUGGGAAUUUACAAUAAUUGGAGCAACAACAACAAUCAAGACGGGUGGAAGAACAAUAGAAACCAAUGAAACCAGGGGCAAGACUUUCAAAGGCCCCCAAUGUUCCAAUAACAAGAAAAUCCACCCCGUUUCCCUUCUUAAGGUAUGAGUUCUUUUGGAUAUGAUUUGGGUAGAAUUGAAAUUAUGUUCGAGCAAAUGAUGAAAAAGAACCAAGAUUCCGAUGCUUAAUUGGCUUCUCAUAAUACAUCUAUCUAGAACUUGGAGGUGCAACUUGUCCAAAUUUCUUACGCUUUGAAGACUCCCCCCAAGGGUGCUCUACCAAGUAAUACGGUAGUGAACCUGAAGGGUGGGAACAACAAUCAGUGAUGGUGGUUGCAACAAGAAGUGGGAGAGGUAGUAAUGUGAAUGCCUCGACAGAAAAGAAAGUUGUGGAUGAUGAUGUUGAUUAGUGGGAUGAUGAUGUACCUUUGAUUAUUGAAGGUGUGUUUGAGGAGAAUGUGAACAAUGAUGUGAGGAUUAUAUUGAUGACAUCGAGGUAGAAGCUCAAGAUGCUGUGAACCCAUCUAGGGAAUAAGUGAUUGGCAUGCCUGAGCCGGUUGUGCCAAAAGCCAAGGCACCCUUGCCUAGGCCACCUCCACCUUAUCCUCAAAGGCUCACAAAGCAAGAAAAUGAUAACCAAUUCAAGAAGUUUAUUGAGAUUAUGAAGAGCUUGUCCAUAAAUUUUCCUUUGGUGGAGGCUGUUGAACAAAUACCGGGAUAUGCCAAGUUCAUGAAAGAUAUAGUGACAAAGAAGAGGUUGGUGGAUUGUGAGAUGAUCAAGAUGUCUCACCAAGUGAGUGCUAUAGUGCAUUCCAUGUCACCAAAACUUGAAGACCACGGAGCUUUUACCAUCCGUUGUACUAUCAGAAGUGCGGAUUUUGCCAAUGCUUUAUGUGACUUGGGAGGUAGUAUCAAUUUGAUGCCUUACUCGGUUUUCAAUACUUUGGGCAUUGGGAAACCUAGACCAACUUCGAUGAGACUUCAAAUGGAGAAUCGAUCGUUGAAGAAACCGUUGGGCAUAAUUGAUGUUGUACUUCUCCGGGUCGCCGACUUUGUCAUUUUGGAUUGUGAAGUAGACUAAGAGGUUCUUAUUAUCUUGGGUCAACCAUUCCUUGCAACGGGGAAGGCAUUGGUUGAUGUUGAAGAGGGUGAACUCACUUUUCGAGUGGUUGAUGAAAAGGUCGUCUUCUAUGUUUGUAGAUCCAUGAAGCAACCCAAUAGCACCAAGGUGUGCUCAUUUGUAGUUCUUGUCACAGCCGUGAUUGAGGAUGAUACUAGUUCUAUGAUCAACGUCAAGGAUCCUCUUGAGGUCGUGCUUUUAAAUAUAGGUGUCAAUGAUGAUGCUAUUAGAGUGGAGUGCGUGAAUGCCCUACAUGGGAUGGGCUCUUAUUCUUAUGAGCCGAGGAAAUUGGCUUUGGAUCUUGAAAACAAAACACUCCACCAACAAAGCCAUCAAUUGAAGAGCCACCGGUGUUGGAGUUGAAACCACUUCCUAUACACCUCAGGUACUAAUUCUUGGGCUCUAAUUCAACUUUACCAGUUAUUCUUUCUUCUUUCCUUACUAACAUGCAGGUUGAGGCCACUUUGUAGGUGCUUUAAAAGUGGAAAAGGGCAAUUGGAUGGACUCUAGCUGACAUCCGGGGAAUAAGCCCCGCAUUUUGCAUGCACAAAAUUAUCUUGGAGGAUGAUGUAAAGCCUUCCUUGGAGCAUCAAAGAAGAUUAAAUGAGGCUAUGCAAGAAGUGGUGAAGAAAGAGGUUAUAAAGUUGCUAGACGCCAGUGUGGUCUACUAUUUUUCUGACAGCUCUUGGACUUCUCCGGUGCAAUUUGUAUCAAAGAAGGGUGGUAUGACUCUGGUGACCAAUGAAAAUAUGAACUUAUUCCUACUCGGAUAGCCACCGGAUAGAGAGUAUGUAUGGAUUACCGGAAGCUAAAUAUGGUGACCCGAAAGGACCAUUUCCCACUUCCAUUCCUUGACCAAAUGCUAGAUUUUCUUGCGGGACGUGCUUUUUAUUACUUUUUGGAUGGUUACUCGGGGUACAAUCAAAUUCUAGUUGCCUUGGAGGACCAAGAGAAUACCAGCUUUCCCUGUCCGUAUGGCACAUUUGCUUUCUCUCGAAUGCCGUUCGGAUUGUGUAAUGCUCCGGCGGCCUUCCAACAUUGCAUGAUGGCUAUUUUAACUGACAUGGUGAAAGAUAUGUUGGAGGUUUUCAUGGAUGUUUUCAGUAUGGUUAGGGAUCCCUUUGAAGAGUGUUUGGGUAAUUUGGAUAGAGUAUUGGACCGGUGUGAAGACACGAGUCUUGUUCUCAAUUGGGAAAAAUGCCAUUUCAUGGUUGAAUAGAGUAUAUUGUUGGGUCAAUAAAUCUCAAAGCGAGGAAUUGAAGAGGAUAAAGCCAAGAUAGAGCUAAUUUCGAGACUUCCUCCCGCUACUUUUGUCAAAGGGGUGAGGAGUUUCCUUGGGCACGCGGGUUUUUACCGGAGGUUCAUAAAAUAUUUUUCCAAAGUGGUACACCCUUUGUGCAAGUUGCUAGAAAAGGAUGCAAAGUUUGUGUUCAAUGAGUGUUGUAUGCAAGCAUUCUAGGUUCUCAAGCUCGAGUUGACAUCUACCCCCAUGAUUACUGCACCAAAUUGGAGCUUUCCUUUCGAGCUCAUGUGCGAUGCUAGUGACGUUGUGGUUGGGGCUUUUUGGGCCAAAGUAUCAAUAAGAUGUUUCAUCUGGUGUAUUAUGCAAGCAAGACCAUAAACGAAGCUCAAAGGAACUAUGCAGUCACCAAGAAAGAGUUGUUGCCAAUUGUGUUUGCUAUGGCAAAGUUUCGACCAUACCUUAUGGGGGCCAAAGUUAUAGUGCACACUGAUCAUACCGCCCUUAGGUAUUUAAUGACAAAAAAAGACUCCAAGGCAAGAUUGAUGCGAUGGGUAGUUCUUCUUCAAGAGUUUGGUAUAGAAAUUGUGGACCAAAAAGAUAGUGAGAAUCAAGUGGUGGACCACUUGUCUCGUUUGGAGGAGGAGGGGAGGCCUUGUGACAGCCUUGAGAUCAAUGAUGAAUUUUGCCAUGAAAAACUCCUUGCGGUCUCAAUGCAUGAUUUUUCGUGGUUUACCGAUGUUGCCAAUUAUCUUAUGACUAGAAUAAUCUCGUAUGAGCUCUCUUCUAACCUAAGGAAGAAGCUCAAGCAUCAUAGCUUGGAUUUUUAUUAGGACGAGACAUAUUUUUUCAAGAGUUUACAUAUGGUGUGAUUCAUAGAUGUGUCCCAGAGGAAGAACAAUUGAGUAUCUUAGAGGCUUGUCAUUCCUCUCCCUAUGAUGGCCAUCAUGGCGGGGCGAGGAUGCUUCUAAAAUGCUUAGUUGAAAUUUCUAUUGGCCAACCUUGUUCAAAGAUGCCGGUGAUCUUGUCAAGAGAUGUGAUGAAUGCCAAAGAUGGGUGGAAUUUCAAAAAGGGAUGAGAUGCCUCUAAAUACAAUUCUUGAAGUGGAUAUCUUUAAUUUUUGGGGCAUCGAUUUCAUGUGUCCAUUUGUUAGCUCUUGUGGAACCACUUACAUUCUAGUGGUGUUUGAUUGUGUCUCAAAGUGGGUUGAAGUCGUGGCUAUGCCUAAAAAUGAAGCCCACAGUGUUGUUUCAUUUCUUAAGAAGAGUUUCUUCACAAGGUUUGGCACUCAUCGUACAAAUAUUUGUGAUGGGGGAUCCCACUUUUCUAAUAGGGCUGUUGAUUCGUUGCUUGCCAAAUAUGGAGUUAAUCACAAAAUGUCCACCCCCAAUUAUCCUCAAGCUAGUGGUCAAGUGGAAGUCUCCAGUAGGGAAAUUAAAAGUAUCUUAUCCAAGACGGUCAAUGCUAAUAAGACCGAUUGGUCAAAAAAGUUGGAUGGUGCUUUAUGGGCGCAUCAGAGGGCUUACAAGUCUCUGAUUGGAAUGUCUCCGUACUGGUUGGUAUUAGGGAAAGCUUUCCAUCUUUCAGUUGAAUUGGAGCACAAGGCUAUGUGGGCUUUAAGGAAGUUGAAUUUAGAAUAGGAUGCUGCGGCCAAUCUUCGUGUUGAACAAUUGAAUGAGAUAGAUGAGCUUAGAUUCCAUGCCUACUCCAGAUCGUACUUCUAUAAGGAUAAGAUGAAGUACCAUCACGAUAAAUAUGCUCGGUAAAAGGAGUUCAAGGUUCGAGAUAUGGUUCUUUUGUUCAACUCCCGGUUACGUUUGUUUUGGGGAAAGCUCAAAUCAAAGUGGAAUGGAUCGUUUGAAGUUGUACUUGUGACCCCGUUUGGUGCUAUUGAUCUCAAGAACAGAAAUGGUGGAGUUUUCAGAGUCAAUGGGCAUGGGGUAAAGCAUUAUCUUAGAAAAUUUGAUGACAACCAUGUGGUGGCACUCCUUCAUCAUGUGAUGAGCAUCGUGCCAUGACAUUAAAUCAGGUGCUUCUUGGGAGACAACCCAUGUCUUUUUCUUAUUUUUUUUCGUGGAGUUUCUUUGUAGUUUAGGUCUGAUAUUUGGGCUAAUUGGUUGUGAGAUGUUGCAGGGAUUGUGUUAAAACAGUGCAAAACAUUGAGGAAAAUUGAACAGUCUCUGAAGUUUCCAGUGCGGCCGCACUACACUUUGUGCGGUCCGCACUGGUGUGACCUAAUGUGAGGGCUCUCUGAAGUUAGCCACUACAACUGCAUGCCAUUUUGUACGAACCGCGGUGGAGCUCCGCGGCCGUGGUUCUUUUGUGCGGAGCGGAGGAUUGCUGUCUCAGGUUUGAUUAAGGCUCCCUAGCACAGUUGGUGGUCCAUUUUAUGCGGCCGUGCUGGUAGGUGAGGCUGGGUCCCAUAUGUUCUCUAUAAAUAGACUUUAAGGGUCUCCUAUUACCCUUUUCAAAAAUUUACUCUCAGAGACCUAAAAUCUAUUGUUUAUCCUCUCUUUUCACGUAAAUCCUUGCUUAGAUUGAUUACUUGCAUUCCAUCUCCAUAUCUGGUAUCACUCAUUUUUCUUUGUUUAAUUUUAUAAUUUCAUUUUAUUUUCAUGUCCAUUAGCCGUAGCUUCUUCUUCCCGUAUUUCUUAAAUUUCUAGGUUAGUUUAGCUUAACAUUUAUUUUUUGUGUGGUUGUUGAGUGUAAUGAUAUGGGUAAUUGAGUAGGGAUAUUAGCUAGGUGAAAACUUGAACAAAAUUUCAAAAAUUGGAAACCCUAAGUCAGUGCCUGGACUAAGCACCCUCCGUGGACCGCGUUUGCUUUUGUGCGUUUGCGAUGCUAUUAUGCGGUCCGCAGUAACACUUUGCGCGGACUGCGGUGAGGAUCUUAUGGAAAUUGAAGUCUUGCCCAGUGCGGCUGCGAUGCAACUUUGUGCGAUUUGUAGUGGUCUGAUUCAGAGAGUGUGUUUAAGGAGGCCUACUCCUGUACGGACCACGAUUGCUUUUGGGCGGUCUGUGGUGACCCUAGUGCGCCUGCACUCUUUUUUGUGCGGUCCGCAUUGCCGAAUCUGCAACUGUGCCUGCCACGUUUUGCUUCUAUUUUGCCAUUCAUUAGAUACAUUCGUCUCAUUGUCUUUGUUGAUACUAACAAAGUUAGAUGUUUGUGCUUUCAGAUAAUGGUUAAACAAUGAGGUAAAGACGCAAAACAAACUGGCCGAGGUGAUUCCUCCCGGGGAGGGAAGCAAAGAUUGGUUAAACUCACUCCCCACACAAGACAAAACAGAAAGAACAAGAGAAAAGCAAUCAAACUAGCUGAUAGGGUUUGUGAUCAAUCGGGGAGUGGGUAUGUUCCCUUUUAAGACAUCUCCUCUGACUCAGUUCCAACUCAAUUCAUCUCCAACUUUAGACUGAUUAAUGAUUCUUCUCCACUAUCACCUGCUGCCCAGGUGGCAUAUCAUGUCCCAGCAGAGUUAUCUGAUGGCUCAGGAGCCGACAACGUUGAGUACUCCACCUACCCCACAACUUCAGUGUCUGGGGAGAGUGCAGAUGGAGAUGAGGAUACACAGGAGAGUGGUGAGCCUAAGGUUGGGGUAUUACCCAGACUAGAGAUCCUGCAUUGUGGGAGGAAUGAUUUGUUAGUCAGGCAGCGUUCCAUAAGUUUAGGGAAUGGUGGCCUGUGAGGAAGUUGAUUUUGGAGAAGGGAUUCAUUGAAACAAAAAGCUACAAGCCUAUAUAAGAAGCUAGAACGAAAGUUUUUUGCGGAAAUAGAAAAUAGAAUGAAUAUGUACAAUAGGGGAAUACAUAUACAAUGGGGCAUGAAUAUAUAAAAUAAUGUAACUUUAUAUACAGACCAAAGGAAAGAUAAAAAGUGCUAUAAAAAUAACUAAAUGUAAAGUUAUGCACAGAACAAUAGAAAAUCAAUAAGGCAUAAACUAAAUCAGUAUAUAUACACAAUCAUCCAAGGAUAAAAUAAAGGGAGCACCCCUCAAGUAAAAUCCGAAAUUGUUCCCAAUGCGAAUUAAACAAAUAAGCACCCAAAAAAAAUAAAAGAGAAAGGAUAUGAUGACUCCCUAAGCCAUGUCCGUCUGUAUACGAUCAUCAAUGGUCCCCGAGUCCUCUGUAUGUGCGGGAACCUUAGACCUGUUCCUGGUAUCCUACUGCUCAGCUGCUGGGACUGGGGCCUGGACCUGGACAGGCUUUGACUCAAGUGCAUCUUGUGGCUGACUGGACGAAGCCUCUGGUGGGUCCGCCAACUGGAUAAUGGCAUCAUCUACGCUCGAGAUCAUCCUCAUCCUCUUUGGAGGCCUCUGUGUGUGCUCCCGUUGUGGCUCUGCUGCUAGUACUGCUAUUAGAGCUGGAUCCAGAAAUAGCAUGUCUAAAGGCAGCUGUUCUGCCUUCAUUUUGUCCACAUCCGCUCUCAACUCCAUUACGGACUCCUUAGAGGCCCGUGUCUUGCGCAUCUUCUUAUGCUCAUUAGCAAGCUCCUUUAGAGUGUUUUCAUGUAAAUCCACUACCUUAGCCAAGGCACUUUGAGUACUAAGGAUCUUCUCCUGGUUGGAAAAAUUCUGCUUAACUGUAUCCUGGAUAGACUGGGGUACCUGUAGUGGCUGAGGAGUCGACUGAGCUGCAAUAGUAGCAGUCAAGGUGGACAACUUGGAUGACAUAGUGCACAUCUAGUUGUUCAGGCUCUGAAGCGUCUACCUCAAUCAGUGGGUUGGGAUGGGAUGGUCCCGGGAAGAAGAAAUCUCCAGGCCAUCUGAAGUAGAAGGACCAGGAGGCAAGUCGGUUGUAGUGGAAGGUCCCAGAGGCAAAUCAACAAUGGUGGAGGCAGUCUUAGUACAGGUCUCUACCGCAACUGACUCUUCAGACUGGCCAGUUGAGGCAGAAGUAGGCGCCUUGUAUCUCUUGUCCUUGGGGUUGUCUGGCCCCUUCAAACUAUACCAUGAAAACGGAGCCACAGGUUUGGCCUUGAUGUAAAAAGAUCUCUUCUCCACCUUCAAUCUCUGAAGUACAUGGUCAGGGUUUUGGGGAAAGGGUAGUUCCUAUCAGCCUCAGUACCAACAACACCUUUUUGUUUCAAACCUUAAUCACUUUGGUUCCCUUCAAGAUGUGGGCUAGAUUGCUAUAAAAUUCCUUGACCAUGUGUUCGUUGUCAUUCACACAAUUAUCCAAGAAGGGCUCCCACCCCACUCGAGUACAGAAUUGUCAAUGCACAUUGGGGUUUAGGGGUAGAUUUCUAAUAAGACUUUGAUUUUCUUAAUGUCAAUAUUCUUUCUAAAGGUGGAGUAUUGUGUGAACCGGGUGGAUCUUCCCAAUGAUAGAUAACGUGACAACCUUCUUAAGGGUUUGAGUCUAGUUUUGUUAAUGUUUUUGAUAGUUUGUAGUUAAGGGUACCUCAAGCAAAGCUUCACGUGGGUGUAGAACAUUUGCCGUUGAUCCCAUGGUCAAAGACAAAAUAUUGUGUUUAGGAUGGUGAAAGUCAUAACCUUGAGACUCUCGUGUUGACUGACAAUCAUCAAAAUGGUUUUUCGGACCAUUGUGUGCUUGAAUCAUAACUAAGGUCAUUUUGGGCCCUCGAUUCAAUGUCUUUAAUAAUCCCCUAGCAUGUGUGGUGAGUAAUUGAAUUACGAGUCCAAGUCCCAUGCCAAUGAUCUAGAACAUGCCCUUAAUGUUUGUUCAGGCAAAAUCUUAUUGAAUUUUGACUUGAAAAGUAAUUAUAGGCCUCCUUGAUCAACAUGAUAGUUCAAAUAAUUCCAAAGCCUACCAUUGAUAAGAUUCCUAGUCAAUCCUUUUGAGCCUUAAACCUUUUUCUUUAAAGAACCAUGAUACAAUCCUAUACCCGUUCUCAAAGAUAGCCUCUGUUGGCACCCAAAUCCUUCCUUUUGCACAUGACAAAAACAAUUAAGUUGGGGGGAGAGACAAGGAUUGUAACAAAGUGGUAAAAAGCACAAAAAUAAAUAAAAGGAAAGUCAUUAAAAAAUAAAGAAAAGCAAAAAGCUCAAUGUGAAAAUAACUUCAAAGGGAUUUGAGAAAAGAAAGAAAAGAAAGAAGUGGAAAGUUGAAAACGGAGAAAUGAUUUAAAAUGCAUGAGAAAGAGUGACAAUGUGUCUCUCUAUCCCUUUAGAAAGAAGUGAAUGACUCAAAGAGUCAAGAGAAUUAUGCCAAAUUAAUCAAAAGAAGUGCUUAAGGGAAGAUUGAACCCACUUGAACAAAAAUAUGUCCUACUCUAACCCGAAAACAUGCACAAUGACUCCACAAAAUCCCUAUAUGAUCUUAUGUUGAAUGAGGCUUACAUUAGUGGAUACUUACAUAAGGGGCAAGCAUAUGGUACUUAGAGCCGGACUUGUGACCUUUUCUUGAGUGAUAUAAGUGAAAUCCCAUUAACCUCAGUUUGUGUGCCAAUACUCUAAAAGGUGAGGUUUGCUUAGGGAGAGUUGAGUAUGGCGUGAGUUUUUGUUCCACAAUGACAAAAGUAAUUGAGAUAGUUCCUUGAUGUAAUGAGUCAACUCUUGAUUCUCGUAUGUCACACUUGAUCCAUAGUUUUCAAAGUUUAAAUGUUGUUAAUGAUGCAUUCGUAUUGAGGACAAUUGUUAGUCUCAAUUGAUGCUUGUUGAGGUUACUUUAGGACCACUGAAAAUACUUGGAUUUUUCCUUAUGGGGUGGAUCUUAUUUUUUUUGCUUGAGGACAAGCAAAAGCUUAAGUUUGGGGGAGUUGAUAGCUGGGGAUUUUGACGUGGUUUAUGAUCCUUCUUGCUUAUGCUUUUGCUAUAAAUUAUUACAAAAUAGUCCCAACAGGCUCAUAAGUGUGCUUGAUUGCAUGUUUGAUCGACAAAGUGACGAGAUGACAAAGAUCGUCUCAAAAGGAGUUAAACCUGCUCAAGUAACAAAGACACGACAAACUAAGGGAAAACAGGCCUAGUGUGGCCGCAAUACACUUUGUGCGGUCCACACUAGGGGAUUCAGAGAGCUGGAAAAAUGAGCUUGAAAGUAGUGCGGCUGCAUAUCUUGCACGGUCUGCACUGAAGGUUCCGCGACUGAACUAUCAUUCUGUGUGGUCCACGGAAGAGGGAUUCAGAGAAGUAUAAUUUACAAGAAUCAAGCCAGCACGGUCCGCGGCCGUGUUUAUGCGGACGGCAUUGAAGACCUCCGCGAUCGAUGUCCAUUCUGUGUGGUCCACGGAGUCCAAGUUCAGAGAGCCAAGAAUUAAAAUCCAAAAGCUUAGUGCAGCCGUGGUCCAUUUUAUAUGGCCCGCACUGCCCGCAAAGGUAUAUUUGUUUAGUUUUUCAAGCUUAAUAUAAAUAGAAUAUUUUUCCAUUUUAGGUCAUUUGUUAGUUCCAGAAUACAGCUGCACUCACGAGAAGCCAGUUUGUAGCCAGUUUUGGCAUCAGAAUGUAGAAUCAACUACAAAUACUUUGUAUUUUAUUUAGUAUUUAAUUAAAAUGUCUUGUUCUUCAUCUAUUUCAAAAUAUUCUUGUUUAAGCAUGAGUAGCUAAAUCCAUUACCUAUGGUUAUGGCUCAACCCUAGUGUGGGUAAUUGAUGAGUGUUGUGAUUUAGGGUUAGAUUUACUAUGGAUAUUUGUAUUUGGGUCAAUCUUAUGGUUUAAUUAAUGAAUUAGUGGUUUCAAAUACUAGUUUGUACUAAGUGGAUUUGGAUCUUCUUGAGAAAGAGAGCCUAAGUCUUCAAAAUUAACCCAACAAGGAAUUGUGAUGGACUCAUGACAAAUGAUAGUCCUAAUUAAAGGUUAAACCUCGAGAGAGUAAUUACCCGACUUGAAACGUAGUUGCUUGAGCUAAUUUGCCUACCCAUUUGGUCUCGAGAGAGUCACUUGGAAAAAAUCACUCUCUCCACCGAGAGGUGUAAAAGUGGGUAAAAUUGUGCAACAGUUAUACAUAUUUCCCUAAUAAUGUCAAUCGAGCCUUAGAAGCAAUUACCCAUCGAUUACCCACCUAGGUGAAGGUCACUACCCGAGUGCCCCUUUACCCAUUAGAUACAACUCUUUAAAAUUACCUUGUAGCAUAAUCUAGUUUCAAUUAGUGGUUUGAUAAUAGUAGUUUAUAAUUGAAAAACCCAAAAAUGUAUGUAAUUGACAUUUGGAGCAAUUACACAACUAUAGACUAGAUAGAUACAUCAACUCCCUUCCUAGCUCCUUGAGGAAUUCGAUCCCGACCCUUAUAUCGGGUAAAAUCUAUUGUGAUCCUCUCUUACUACUUUAUAUUAGUGUGGAGUUGGCAGUGAUUAGGCUCCUGAUUACCAAUAUUUUCACUAUUUUUCCUCAAACAUGAACUGCUUCCCUUUGUUCUCUAGGUGGGCUCCUGAUUACCAACAUUUGAAUUCCUUUUCCUUUGUUCUCGAGGUGGGCUCCUGAUUACCUCCAUUUGCAUUGUUUUUCCUCAAAACUUGAACUGCUUCUCUUUGUUCUCCAGGUGGGCUCCCGAUUACCAAUAUUUGAAUUGCUUUCCCUUUGUUCUCCAGGUGGGCUCCUGAUUACCAACACUUGAAUUGAUUUUCCCGUUGUUCUCUAGGUGGGCUCCUGAUUACUGACACUUGAAUUGCUUUCCUUUCCUCUAAAACUUGAAUUGUUUUCCCUUUGUUCUCUAGGUGGGUGCCCGAUUGCAAAAAUAUUGAUUUCUUUUCCUCGAAAAUUGAUUCUUUCCUUUGUCCUUCAGGUUGGCUCCUGAUUGCUGAACUUGAACUAUUUCCUCCUGUGACUGCUUUUCCUUUGAACUGGUUUUCCUUGUUACUCCAGGUGGGUGCCUUCUUUCUUAAACCUGUAUUGCUUCCUAUUCUUGAAACUCGUGUUGUUCUCCUUUGCUCUCCAGAUGGGUGCUUGAUUGCUUGAACCUAAAUUAUCUUUUUCUUGAAACUACUUUUCCUUUGAACUAUCCUCUCUUGUUUCUCCAGGUGGGUGUCUAAUUACUUGAACCUGAACUACUUCCAUUCUUGAAACUCGUGUUGUCUUCCCUUGUUCUCCAGGUGGGUGCUUGAUUUUAUCAAAACAGACAAAACAAACGGAAUUUUUCUGCCCCAGUUUGGUAGCUGGGCGCAUCUGUGAGUGUUAAUUGAAUCAUGUUACCCAAUAUAUCUAAGAAUUAAAAAACUAGAUCCCAUUAUCUAGUAGGGUCCUGAAAACUCCUAGUUUACCGACAAUUUUAAGCUAAAUCAUAUUUCCUAAAGGUAUGAAUUCUGCUAAAUCUUGUAAUCUGUGAAGAUCUUAAAACUUAAUAUUAUCCAUGAGGAUCCUGAAAAUUUCCAAUUGAGUCUUAUCCCAAGAAUGAAAACUUCCAAACCCACUUAUAUUUUCUCAAAGUAGAGCAUAUGCUAGAUCCUUUUAUUCAUGAAUGUUUUGAAUUUUAAAUAAGUCCCAUUCUUCAAGAGGGUCCUGAGAAUUUACGAUCGAACCUGUUCAGUUCUUGCUUUCCUUACAGAGGGUUUCUUUGAAACAAACGAAAUUUUCUUCCCCUAUUUCAAUCAAAGAAAAAUCUUGUCAGUUUAAAAAUGUGGUGGUUAGUUCGCGGAAUUCUUGCUGAAGGUGGCCUUUUGCCGCCAUGCUUUGCUUUCGCUGGAUGAUUUGAACUGGCCAAGAACUGUUUGCCUUUCCAUCUUAAUUUUAACCCACAAGACCUUGAAUGACCUGAAUGGUUUACACCCAAACCCGUUGCUUUACAUUUCUAUCCUUCCAAUUUGAACCUCCGUGUCCUCCACAAAAUUCACAAACCACUCGAUCGCUUGAAAUUUCAUUAACACCUUAUUUCCACUUUUGCAUCCUACUGUUUUUGGUAUGCUUUGGCCGCACUUUGUUUUGUGCGAUUUUGAAAGUUGGUAGUAAGCUUUGAAAUCCUUUCUUACUUUCUUAAACAAAGCUGAUAUCUUAAAAACCACAAUAAAAUGAACCCAAAAGAAAUGAAAUGCAAUGACUUUGAGAGUUAGGAAUAAAAAUAGAAAAAUCCAAAAACUGGAUGACUGUUUGAGGGAGAAAAGGGAAAGAGAUUUAUCUGAGUGAAACAGCUGGCACCUAUGAUCAUUACAUGCAUCUCGGAUUAAUCACCCCAACCUAUUCAACCAAUCACUUGUCAAUUGACAUACAUUGUGCCCCAGAAUCUCUAUAACCCAAUUUCUUUGCCAAAUCACUGACAUGUUCGGCCUGCACCAACAAAUCUCUAUCAUUUGUUCAUAUCUCAACUUACCUUUGCCUUACUGUGCCCGUGAGGGUUUUCACCAAUAAGACUCUCUCAUUUUUAAAUUUCUCUCAGCUUUCCAUUGCCUUACGGUGCCCGUGAGGGUUUUUACAAAUAAGACUCUCUUACUUUUCAUUUCCCUGCUCCGAAUGGAGUAUUGUCAUUGAUAAAAAUCACCUCUGCUUGCUUGAAUUGGAAUAUAUCGAAGACUAAUCGGAAGGUCUUUCUUUAGACCAUAAUGUGGGAUUUUGGAUAAGGUUAGAAAUAAAGGAUAUCAAAAGGCUCAAAACAAUUUGAAAGGAUUUAAAAUUACAACUUUUGGAAUCAUAUUUCUUCCCACAACCAUAACUUUCUUCCCCAUAUUCUUUGCUUGGGGAAUUUUGGAUUUUUAUUUUGAUGGGACCGAACCGUAAGGAUGCCUACGUAUCCUAAGAAUGAAUCAGGUCGAACAGAGUUCAUGUCAUAGGAAUUACUUUGUUGUUGUGAUUUUUCUCUUUUCUUUUUCUUUCUCUCUUUUUCCAUUUCUUUUAUUUUCUUCUCUUAUUUUUCUUUUAUUUUCUUUUUCUUUCUCUUUUUUUCUCACUCUUUUCCAUUCUUUUCUUUCUCUUUUCUCUCUUAUUUUCUAUUUUUCUUGUUUACUCACCUUUUGAGAUCGUGUUUCUGAACUUUGCUAUUGAUUCCAAAAGAAGGGUAUGAAAGGAAAUAAAUAAGGCUCAAAGGAAUAAAAAAGGAUAAAGCGUUUAGAUAUUAGAAUGAAAUGCCUUCGUCAUUCCAAUCUUCAAAACAUUCCAAGUACAAACAAACACAAUUUAAACCGAAGAGAUCAUACAUAAUAUCUUUUGACUGCAUGAGAAUUGAUAGUCAUAUCUACACAUUUUAAUUCUAUAUCUUUCAAAUACAAAGCACCAUUAGAGCACUCUCAUUACGAUGAACAGACCUUGCCAAUUUGGGGCAAACUUGCCUUUCGCUUCAGCCUGAUGUCCAAGCAUGUAUUUCAAUACUUGCUGACCCACUUAAAAUUUCUGUGGACUUACCUUGUUGUUGUAUUCUCUUGCUAUUCUCUUUUGAUACAACUGGCCAUGACACACUACUACCAAUAUUUUCUCAUCACUAAAACUCAAUUGCUCCAAACGGGUUUUGACCCACUCAUCAUCAUCAAUUUCAGCCUCUGCAACAAUCCGAAGGGAUGGAAUUUCAACCUCCACGGCUAUCACUGCUUCAGUGCCAUAUUCCAACAAAUAAGGAGUUACACCUACUGAAGUGCGAACAGUAGUGAGAUAACCUAGAAAAGCAAAUGGCAACUUCUCAUGCCAUUGCCUGGAACCUUGCACCAUUUUUUGAAGUAUCUUCUUUAUGUUCUUGUGUGCUACCUCGAUUGCUCCAUUUGCCUUGGGGCGGUAUGGGGUGGAAUAACGAUGUGUAAUCUAAAACUCUUGACACACUUCUUUCAUUAGAUAAUUGUUAAGAUUAGCACCAUUAUCCAUGAUAAUCACCUCAGGGAUUCCGAACAAUGAUAUUUGAACGAACAAAAUCGACCACUGCCUUCUUGGUUAUAGAUUUGAAAGUUUUAUCUUCAACCUACUUAGUGAAAUAGUCAAUAGCCACUAGAAUGAACCUGUGUCCAUUGGAUGCUGCUAGCUCAAUUGGUCCGAUGACAUCCAUACCCCAAGCAAUAAAAGGGCCAUGGUGCAUAUAUUAUGUGUAAUUCAUAGGAAAGAGAAUGAAUCAAAUUUCCGUGUAUUUGACAUUGAUGACACAUGCACACAAAACUGAUACAAUCUCGCUCCAUGGUGAGCCAAUAAUAACCUAGUCAGAGAAUUUUCUUGGCCAGAACAUACCCACUCUUUUACGGUCCACAGACUUUGGAAUGUACUUCGGUCUUGAUAUCCGUGGCCUGUCCAACAUCUAUGCAUCUUAACAAUCUAAGAUCUGGAGUUCUUUUGUACAAACUCCUCCACUAAAGAAAGAUCCACUUGCCAAACGACGAAUUGUUCUCUUUUGCUCACCUGUGGCUUGUACUGGAUACACCCCCAUCCUGAUAUACUCCUUGAUGUCAUGAAACCAUGGUUCACCAUCAAGUUCUUCUUCAAACACAUUACAUGACGAUGACGAACUUGAAUAUGCAGAGGGUCAACAUAAGCUUUGUCCGGAUGGUGCAACAUCGACACCAAGGUAGCCAAAGCAUCGACAACCUCAUUAUGGAUCCUUGGAAUGUGCUUGAAUUUUAUUGAUCAAAACCAUUGACAAAGAUCAUGCAGACAUUGUUGGUACUGUAUAAGCUUUAAAUCCUGUGUCUCCCAUUCUCCUUGAAUCUGGUGCAUCAGGAGGUCCGAGUCCCCCAAGACCAAGACUUCUUGAAUUCCCAUAUCUACAGCUAUCCUUAGUCCCAGAAUGCAUGCCUUGUACUCAGAAAUGUUGUUGGUACAAUACAAUCGCAGUUGGGCUGUAACAAGAUAGUGAGGCUCUAUUUCAGAAAUAAGCACUGCCCUUAUCCUAACACCUUUCAUGUUAGCAGCUCCAUCAAAGAAAAGUUUCCAACUUGGUUUUUCAACCGGCUCCACCUUGUCAAUGCGCAUCACCUCUUCAUAAGGAAAGUAAGUUCUCAAAGGUUCAUAUUCUUCGUCCACCGGGUUCUCGGCAAAAUGAUCGGCUAAUUCUUGGGCUUUCAUCGCUGUCCCAGUCACAUAUACGAUGUCAAACUCUGUGAACAAGAUCUGCCACUUUUCGAGCCUCACUGUGGGCAUGCGCUUCUGAAAAAUAUACUUCAUAGGAUCUAGGUAAGUUGUGUAGGAUGGCAAAUAAUGAUUCAACUUCUAUACUACCCAAGUCAGGGCGCAACAUAUCCUUUCAAGUGGAGUAUACUUAACCUCAUAAGAUGUGAACUUCUUGCUGAGAUAGUAGAUGACUUGUGCUUUCCUUCUAGUGAUUUCAUGUUUUACCAACAAACAACCAAACGAAUUAUCCAAGACUGUCAAAUACAGAAUCAAAAGUCUCCCAUGUUCUGGUGGGACUAGCACAUGUGGGUUUGAUAAAUACUCUUUGAUCCUAUCGAAUGCUUCUUGUCACUCAUAAUUCCAUUUACCCGCAACAUCCUUCUUCAGUAGCUUAAAGAUAGGCUCACAAGUUGUCGUAAGCUGAGCGAUAAACCUGCUGAUGUAGUUCUGCCUCCCUAGCAAAGUCAUCACCUCGGUCUUAUUCUUUGGCGGUGUCAUUUCCUGAAUGGCUUUGAUCUUUGAUGGAUCAAAUUCAAUUCCCUGCCAAUAGACUAUGAAUCCCAAAUAUUUCCCCAAUGGAAUACCAAAUGGGCACUUUGCAGGGUUGCGCUUAAGAUUGUACCUGUGGAUCCUUUGGAAAAAAUUUCUCAAAUCUUUGACGUGGUCAGACUAUUUUCUGGACUUUAUGAUCAGAUCAUCCACGUAAAUCUCCAUCUCCUUGUGUAUCAUGUCAUGGAAUAUGGUAUUCAUUGCCCUCUUGUAAGUUGCCCCAACAUUUUUCAAACCAAACGGAAUGACCCGGUAGCAGUAUAUUCCCUAUGGCGCGAUGAAUGCCGUAUUUUUCGCAUCUUCCUCAUCUAUUAAAAUAUGAUGAUACCUCGUAUAGAAAUCCACAUAUGACCCAAUCUCAUGCUUGGCACAAUUAUCAAUCAAAAUGUGGAUAUUCGGCAAUGGAAAGUUGUCCUUUGGAUUUGCAUUGUUGAGAUCACGGUAAUCAACACACACUAUGGUCUUACCAUCCUUCUUUGGCACAUGCACAACAUUGGCCAACCACAUGGGAUACCGCCUGGCCCGAAUGACCUUUGCGUCUAGCUACUUUAUGACCUCUUCUUUAAUCCUCACACUCAUGUCAGUUUUGAAUUUUCUCACUUCUGCUUGACGAGAGGGAAUUCUGGACAAUUGGCAAUUUAUGGACCACCAAAUCGGUACUUAAGCCUGGCAUGUCAUCAUACGACCAUGCAAAACUAUCCUUAUACUCAAACAAUGCUAUAAUUAUUUUUUCCCUGAUUUGUGGUUCAAGAUGGUCACUUAUCUUAGUUUUUCUGACAAUAUCUGGGCCCCCUAGAUUGAUUGCUUCGGUUUCAUUCAGAUUGGGCUUGGGUUUUUCUUCAAAAUGACUUAGUUCCGUAUAUAUCUCUUUAAAGGCUUCAUCCCCAUUAUAUUCUGAUUCAUCAUUACACUAUAUUUUCUGAAUUACUAUUUCAGAAUUAGAUUAACUUUUAAGACUAGGCCAAAAAUUCCUCAUGUAUGUCAUGUCAUUAAAACAAACAUAAAAAAUUAUGCAAAGAAGAAAAGAAAAACGAAAAUAAGUGCUAUCAGGAAUGAUGGAAAAGGGAAAUUGCAUUUCAUUAAAAUUAAAAGAUAACAGAGCUUAUACAUCAACAAGCGGAAAAUAAAAAAAAACUAGGUCACCACCCUGGAAUGAUCCAGAUAGAAGGGAAAACGAAACAAACUACCAAGACUCCUUCUUGGUAGGGAGAGGAGUAGCCUUCCAAUUGUUAAGCUUUGCGUUCGGGCCGACGAACUGCACGUACACUUUACUAGAACCUUCUCCAACUUCCACCAUGUUUACAUAAUCAAACAACCUCUAGAACCUUUCUGUUAACUCCUCAUCAAUGUCAACCAUAGAAUGUGGAAAUGUCGUCACUGGGCGUUUCCUGGCACCGGGCUUGACAAAAGACCUAGAGAAACAUGGAAAGGCUUUGAAAGUGCCCACGCCUUAUGUUUCAACCUUUUAGCCCUUUUCACAUUUGCUACUGUAGGUUGAAUCCAAGACCGAACGUACCCAAAUUUUCAGGGAGGGACAUUAACUGUAUGAUACCCUGCAGAGAUGUACCCAGACCUUUACCAGGCACAAAGCCAUUUUUCAGCAUUUCAAAGGCCAUCAUAACUAAUGUGGGGGUUAUCUUUUGAGUUGGAACACAUUUCCCCUCUAUACCUUCUCGAUCGGCACUAUUUCAAAAACUUCGUAGACCCAAGGCCCUUUGUCAUCUUCAGCUUCAAUAAACGAAACAGAGGCAUCGCUAUGGACACACAAAUUAUCCUCUCCAUGCACGACAAUCUCUUGUCUAUCCCAUUCGAACUUGACCAUCUGGUGCAGAGCGGACGGGACUGCUUUGGUGGCAUGAAUCUAAGGUCGACCCAAUAACAAAUUAUAAGAGAUGACUACAUCCAGUACUUGGAACUCCAUGGUGAUUUCCACUGGUCUUAUUGUCAACUCAAGCACUAUAUUACUAGCUGAAUCUUUCCCUCCACCGUCAAAGCACCGACGCAGAUACUGUUCAUUGAAUCCUCUCAUUAUCGACUUUCAACUUGUCCAGAGUAGAGAGGGUAGAUGUUUGAACUGGAACCAUUGUCAACUAAUACCCUGGUAACCACAUAAUAUUCACAUUUACCGUAAGAUAGAGAGCUCUGUUGUGUUAAGUACCUUCCACAUGUGACUCAUUAUUAGAGAAGGUGACCCUGUUCACCUCAAGUAUUUUAUUGGAAAUCUUUUCCAGAUGAUUCACUAAAAUUUUGUCGGGGACAUGUUCUUUAUUCAGUAUCUUCAUCAGGGCACGACGAUCAGUCGAUCUCUUCAUGGGCCUAUGUGCCAUAUCUUCUUGAAGGCGAAAUAGGUCAUACAUGAUUUAUCAGCCAAAAAUUAUAAUGAAAGUGAAGAACGUAGACCUGGUCAUGUCAUCACACUCGUUGCACUUCAUCACAAUGUAGUGCGCAAUGCUCCUAACCCUUUCUCUGAUACCAUUCUCUUGUAGCAACUUUCUGAUCUGCUGAGACCUGGCCCCUAAAACUUGUUCAACUACAUGAUUUUGCUCUUGAAGCUGCUGCAAGUCUUUUUCUAGCUGCUACAUCGGUACAUAGCAGUGUUCCAUCUCUCCUUUGAAGUUCUUUGUUUGUUUAUCCAUCUCGUUCUCGAAGGUAGUUAGUUUCUUCUUCAGGUUGGUGGCUUCUCCCUCAUAUUUCCUUUUUAUUUGCCGGACAAACUCUGCUCGUCCCUCGACGUUCUUCGCUAACUAUGCCCGGGCUCUCGCCAAAUUACCCUUGGAUUUUUUCAAAUCAUCCUCACACUCAGCUAUUUUCCUGUUAAGACCACUUAUGAGUCUUUCAGCCUUUCGUCUCCUUUCUUGAUUCUCGACAACUAUUUUUAUUUUUAGGAUCUGUGCUCGAAAGGCCUUGUAUUCUUGAGCCAAUUUCGUCUUCUCCCCUUUAUCGACAACGAACUGUAUACUUUUGUCAAAUUUAAGAUCCUGAAUCUGUCCGUCCAAUUUGGUUAUGGUGGCUUUGUAGCAUGUCUCUUUUGCCAACCAAUCCCAUUUCUUCUGCACUCCAUCAUUGAAAUUUUGGAAAUGGAGCUUUUUUGCUAGCCGUUUGGGCUCUACAUGGGCUUGGGACCUUUUACCGUAACAAGUUGUGUAACUUGGCUCCAACGCACCUCUAGACAGAUCUCGUACCUGAGUCUUUGGCUCUAAGAACCUAUAUUGACGCCAAAUCCAAUGCACCCUUUCUUCCGGGAAAGUAGCUUUUGGUUCCAGUUCGAUAACAUGCCGACUUAAAUCUUCAUCAUGUGGAAUAGUCUGAUACCUACCUAAAUAGCAUAGAACUCUAUGCGGGGCAUAACGAUGAAUGCUCUGGAGACCCAUCAGUAGAAGAAAACACACCUCGACUGACUUAUAAUUGACUUCACUGACCGAGAGCCACCCAAAUGUCCAUUCAACCUUGUUUGCUGUCAGGGAGCUCAAAUGUGCAAACCAUGCUUGCGUACCAUCCAGAAACUCAUAGCGUUCCACUCGUUGUUCAUGUUUUUAAUGCAUUUAUGACCGGUCAUGCCAUAGUUCAUGUACCUCGGACGGUGGCAAAGAUGUUCCUCCAUCCAGAGUUGUAGAAGCAUAUUGCAUCCUUCAAAAAACGUUCCUCCUUCUCGGCAAACAAUUAGAGCUCGGUAAAUCUCUGCGAAGAUCAUCGGUACAACGGUGCCAUUUGCCUUUUUAGUCAUGAAGUGGGCUAUUCCCACAAGCCACAAUUCUAUGUUUCCAUUCUUUCUUGGGAAAAUUAAAACACUAAGAAAUGCCACAAUAAAAACUAGCCCCGUGAGCUUCCCACUUGUCUUUGCUCUUUGAAUAACUAAGACCAUUAUCUCGAAUCUCAAAAUCACGAGGAUUCCAGUAACGAUGGUACAAGAAGUAGAAUGUGCAAAAUCCCUUAUCCAAAUUUCUGUCUUAAACUUCCCGACUGAUGCUUACAAGAUCCAGAAACUUAUGGGGAGUCACUGUUCUAGGUGCCAUCGGGUAUUGAUUUCUGAGAUAUCCAUUAAAACCAACGUAGCUCGCUAUUUCCUCAAGUGUAGGAGUUGGCUAAAAAUCAGCAAAAUGGAACACAUUAUGUGCUGGGUCCCAGAAGGGUAUCAAAGCCUCAAUUAUAUCAUUCCUCGGCAUAAUCUUCAAAAGCCCAACAAGACCACCCAAAUCUUUUAUCACAGUAUCUCGGUUGAGUUCCCCCAAAUCAUUCCACCACAUAUGUCGUUCUAACGGGAUUUCCUUGAGGACCGUGAAAGGUUCAUUUUCGAUCGUGCUCAUCCUGCAUAUUUAUUUAAAGUGAUUGACUAAAAUACCGUGAUUUACUUUGACUCAAGACAAAAAACCAUUUUUGACAAAAUUUAGAACAAAAACAUUCUUGCGAAUACAGCCCUUCAGCGCCGCAAGAAAGAAAAUUUUUAGGGUUGAUUUUGUUAAUCAACCAAAAUUAUUGAAAAAUAACCCUAGGUGGCUACUCUUGCAAAACUAGCCUUCUGACGCCUUUUUGGGACAUUUUGGCUAUUUUGGACAAGAACAUCGUCACCUAAUUUAUGUAUGACAAAAUAGCGAUAGUUCAUAUUUUUUGGGUUAUUUUUUCAAAAUAAUUUGGACCCAAUGAGGGUUGCCUACAUAUCCCACAUCCGGUGAGAAUCAAACUUGCGUAGUUCGUUCAAAUUUGAUGCAACAGAAAACACAUAAUUUUGAGAUAGAUUUUUUUUCCCUUUUUUAUGCGAAAAUUUCCGCACAGUUUCGAGUUAUUUUUGGCGCUAGAUUUUUCACAAGCGGGUAAUUUCCUCUCACUCAUCUCAAUUUGGUUUUUCUCAAUUUUUCUUCCAUAUUCUAGAAGUCGGUCAACAUGUAAUCCAAGUCAAAUAAAUCCGUAAGUAGCAAAUAAAAUGCAUCAGGAUGAUCUUUUGAUUUUGGGUGCACCUGUCCUAGACGGACCCAAACCCUAUGUUGAGUCCCCAAAGUCAAAAAAGCACAUGAUGCAAACAAACAUUCUUACUAGUUAUUCAGAAUGCGGAUAUAUUAUACUAGGUUUUAAAACCAGGGUUUAUUUGUUCUUGACCUGGCUUACCUGAGCGGACAGCUUGAACCAAUGGGGGCAGUGUAUCGGGAAUACAGAAGCUUCAUCGGCUUUGCAACUUGUCCGAAUCUCAUUCUAAAAUUGGGAUAUGACUCUAAGAGAAGAGAAGCUACUCGAAGUGCAUCCUUCUCAAAUGAUUUAGAAGAUGCAGAGAGAGGAGAAAUCCGUAUCAAUUUAUAUAUAGUUCAACAAUAUCAAAGCGGUAAAAAGCAACAUUUAGCACAUUAGGCCCAAACAUGUGAAUAAAACCAGAUAAUAUAUAAAGCAAAACAGAAUAAUUAUUCCAAGCUCUAAUUCUAAACACCAAACUAGAGAUUCUGGGUUCUUGUCCGCAGCAGGGUCGCCAGAGCUGUCACGCCUCCUUUUUACUAUCUCCCGAAGGGUAUGACGUAGUUUUUUUUCAAUAUAAGUGACAAUCAAAAUGAGAUUAUUUAUUUAAAAAUCAGAGUCGCGACAUGGGAUAAUUUAUGAUGUCCCAAGUCACUGGUUUAAAAUUCCGAAUCGAGGAAGUUUGACUUUGUUUUAUAGUCCGCGAACACAGAAAUCUGGUAAGGUAUUCUGUUAACCCGGAAGAAGGUGUUUCACAUUUUUGAGUUUCAUGGUUCUAGCAUGGUCGCUCAACUAUUAUUAUUAGCCUAUUUAUCUGAUUUUGAAAUACUUUUAACCCUAUGUGCACCUUUUAACUUUUGAAAAAACCACUUUACUUAUUUAAGGAAAAUUAAACGUUAUUUAAAAUACACCGCAAGCCACGCUACAUGAAAUGCACCCGUGAGUCACGACACAUUUAGUUAGCCUUGUAGAAAAUUAGAACCGGGUCACAUGAAAUCCACCCCAAGAUUUUAAUAGCCAUAUAAUUAUAUAUUCAACGCACCUAAAGCAAACUAUGAAGUUUGUUUUUAAUAUCUGAAGUAAUAUUUGCGAGGGUCGUAGAUGAUUUAAUUUACUUAUGGCACGCCUCAAAUCUAUUUCCUUAAGCGAUGUCUUGGUCUAGUGCUUUGAGUGCCAUACAUUAUAGGUCUUGUUCAAUAUGAUACACCUCAACCUAAUUAAAAGGGUCCUUUUUAAUUAAAGACAUCUAAGGGAGUUCUAAUUUAUUCAAAGUAAAAGUUUUAUCUACACCUAAUAAUUAAUGAAAUUGCGCAUGAAUGAAAUCAGGUAUUUAGUUACAUGAAGGGCCUAGGCUGGCAGCAGGCCCAAUAGUCACUUGAAAGCUUCCAUAUCAAAAUACAAGGUACGCCUCGGCUCAACACAAACUCCAGGAUGCACAUAUAAUCACGAAGGAGGAAUUUAGGCAUAGUUGAGCCAACGACAACGGCCCAAUUGCACAACCUUAACGACGUUGCUCAAAAUACACAAUUGGGGGGGNNNNNNNNNNNNNNNNNNNNNNNNNNNNNNNNNNNNNNNNNNNNNNNNNNNNNNNNNNNNNNNNNNNNNNNNNNNNNNNNNNNNNNNNNNNNNNNNNNNNNNNNNNNNNNNNNNNNNNNNNNNNNNNNNNNNNNNNNNNNNNNNNNNNNNNNNNNNNNNNNNNNNNNNNNNNNNNNNNNNNNNNNNNNNNNNNNNNNNNNNNNNNNNNNNNNNNNNNNNNNNNNNNNNNNNNNNNNNNNNNNNNNNNNNNNNNNNNNNNNNNNNNNNNNNNNNNNNNNNNNNNNNNNNNNNNNNNNNNNNNNNNNNNNNNNNNNNNNNNNNNNNNNNNNNNNNNNNNNNNNNNNNNNNNNNNNNNNNNNNNNNNNNNNNNNNNNNNNNNNNNNNNNNNNNNNNNNNNNNNNNNNNNNNNNNNNNNNNNNNNNNNNNNGGGGGGAGCUGGGCUUUAGAUUGAACCCAAAUGAAGGAGUAGAGGUACCUUGGACCAAACAAGACCAACCCAGCUCAGAUGGCUUCAUUUGGGUCAACUCCAAAACUCCAGACACUAGGCAGCGGUAAACCAAAAAUCAGGCCCUAAUAAGGCCCAACUAACUACAAUACACAUAACAACAUACUAAGCAAGUUUUUAAGAAUCAUAAUACAUGAAUAACCGUAUUAUGGAUUUUAAAAUUUAUUUUACCAUUCAUGCUAACCAUAAAAUCUUAGAUUAUAAAACUACUUUCUAGCCUUAACAAUAAUUCCACUAAACAUGAUACUAACCACCACAAGAGGUCAAUUCUGAAAUUCACUCAAAGAUUCCCUCUAUAUUUAUGAUCAUGCUUAACAAUUCAAUACAUGGAUUUACAUCCGAGUACCCUUUGAAUAACAGUCCCAAUUAAUUAUAACUAAUAAGUGUAACAACUUUUUGAACACUCAUGAAUAAGCUAAAACAACUAAAAUGUUUAAAUCACCCAACUAUACUAAGUCUAGCAUCGGCAGUAAUAUAAUCAAGCUGAAGCAGUUUAAUGAACACUAGAAAAGAUGCAUAAGAAUCCCAUUCCAUAUCAGUAAUUUACAAGUCUAUUCUAUCACUUCAAGAUCAUGAAUAUACCUGGAACACCAAGAGAAAACCAACAGAAACUUCAGCAAAGAAAUCAAAAUAUCACUAGCUCCUUAGGAAGUAGUACACAAACAGUUAUCAGCCUUCUACCACCAUGUCUUGAACCAAGAAUGAGAACGGCAAUUUACUCAAACUUUUAAGACCCAAAAAAUCAAAAGAACAACUUCAAUGUAACAAUAUUUAGAUGAUUUAUUUUUGUAUUAUUCUUCUAAUUUUCGGACAUAUACCAGUGUAUAGUUUUAGUUAUUUCUAGCUCUAGGUAUUCUGAUCUAUGCCCUCAAAAUCAAAGAAAUGAGACCUUUAUAAAGAAGUUUUAGGACAGCAAAAUCUAAUUCUUAUCUUCACCAUUUACCCCUUCCCCAAUUUUUACUUUUUCACUUUAGACCCUGUAUUUUGAAUCUUCUUGUUAAAACCAACCUAUUUCCUACUUUCCUAGCAGCUUCCUAGGCAGUUAUAAAAGAUUCUUUCAGUGAAAAUACCCUAAAUACCCUUCAAAUGUCUGUUAUUUACAUUUAGAAAAACCACUAAUUGGGCUAGACCCCAGCAUGCUUGAACCCUUCCCCCUCAGAAGCCCAACUUCUGGUCCAAAAAUCACAACACAAAAACAAACAAACCAACGGAGUUUUGAAACUCCUAGCCUCAAAAUUCUAAAGAAGCAAAACAAAAGGAGAAUGGAGCAACAAGAAAUAAUGAACUCAAAGUACUAAAAAGAAACUGUAAACUACAUUAUUAGGCUAAUAUCCUUAUAAAUUAAUAUGACUUAAAUCAACCAUGCAAAUAGAAAUCAAUUUGAACUAAUAAAGAAGAAGAAAGAAACAAAAAUAAGAAAAAAGAAGAAACAAAAAUAGUAACUAAUUAACAAGGAGGAGAAAAGAAUAAGAAUAGACUGACUGACCAAACGGAAGCAAUAGCCAAAAUCGCACAUGAAUGAUAUGGCCACUAAAAUUGCUUAUGCCUGAAACUCAAUCUAACGAGCACCAUUUGUCAAGAUUACUUUGCCAAAGAAAGUUUUAGGCUUGGUGAGCAGAAACCUUCAUUACAAACCCAGCCCCGGAAUUAGGUUAAACUCUAUAUUGCAAAUUCGACAAACUCUAGGAUUCGUUUGGGAAAAUUGCCAAGAGUUUCGGGUUUUGGGGAAGGCUGGGGACUGUAGGAUGUUAAUUUGGGUGGGUUUGGGUAAAUUAGGGUUUUGGGAUCCAAUUUUGGAUCUGAAAUUCGGGCAACUUGGUGAUGGUUUGAAGGAAAGGUUUUGGGGGUGGCAGGCUCUAUGCUUUCUUGCUAUUUGAGUUGAAUAUAGGAGGUAGGGAUUGGACUUCCUACAUUUAAAUACAAGUGAAAGACCCAGUUCUCAACCGUUCGAUGAGUGGAAGUCAAUGACUUGGAUAAAAAGUCACAAAACGACGUCGUUUGGUUAGGAUUGGGGACUAAACGGGGUACUUAG